RNAcentral lists this transfer RNA (74 nucleotides) under Vibrio alginolyticus 40B. Its description in RNAcentral is "tRNA-Met". It matches the Rfam family "tRNA". From Rfam's summary of the family: Transfer RNA (tRNA) molecules are approximately 80 nucleotides in length. The record is from RNAcentral. Lineage: Bacteria; Pseudomonadati; Pseudomonadota; Gammaproteobacteria; Vibrionales; Vibrionaceae.
GCGGGGUGGAGCAGCUUGGUAGCUCGUCGGGCUCAUAACCCGAAGGUCGUCGGUUCAAAUCCGGCCCCCCGGCA